RNAcentral lists this ribosomal RNA (477 nucleotides) under uncultured bacterium. Its description in RNAcentral is "bacterial SSU rRNA". It matches the Rfam family "Bacterial small subunit ribosomal RNA", at positions 28 to 507 of the family's 1533-position model. The record is from RNAcentral.
GACGAACGCUGGCGGCACGCCUAACACAUGCAAGUCGAACGGACGAGAAAGAAGCUUGCUUCUUUCAAGUUAGUGGCGGACGGGUGAGUAACACGUGAGGAACCUGCCUUAGUGAGGGGGAUAACGUUCGGAAACGGACGCUAAUACCGCAUAACAUAUACGAACGGCAUCGUUUGUAUAUCAAAAGGAGCAAUCCGCAUUAAGAUGGCCUCGCGUCUGAUUAGCUAGUUGGUGAGGUAACGGCCCACCAAGGCGACGAUCAGUAGCCGGACUGAGAGGUUGAACGGCCACAUUGGGACUGAGACACGGCCCAGACUCCUACGGGAGGCAGCAGUGGGGAAUAUUGGGCAAUGGGGGAAACCCUGACCCAGCAACGCCGCGUGAAGGAAGAAGGGCCUUCGGGUUGGUAAACUUCUUUUACCUAGGGACGAAGAACGUGACGGUACCUGGAGAAAAAGGACAACGGCUAACUACGUG